This 801-nucleotide ribosomal RNA is filed under the name uncultured bacterium. RNAcentral describes it as "bacterial SSU rRNA". It matches the Rfam family "Bacterial small subunit ribosomal RNA", at positions 8 to 809 of the family's 1533-position model. The record is from RNAcentral.
AGAGUUUGCUUCUGGCUCAGGAUGAACGCUGGCGGCGUGCCUAACACAUGCAAGUCGAGCGAAGCGCUUUACUUGAAUUCUUCGGAAGGAAAGUAUUGUGACUGAGCGGCGGACGGGUGAGUAACGCGUGGGUAACCUGCCUCAUACAGGGGGAUAACAGUUAGAAAUGACUGCUAAUACCGCAUAAGACCACAGCACCGCAUGGUGCGGGGGUAAAAACUCCGGUGGUAUGAGAUGGACCCGCGUCUGAUUAGCUAGUUGGUAAGGUAAGGGCUUACCAAGGCGACGAUCAGUAGCCGACCUGAGAGGGUGACCGGCCACAUUGGGACUGAGACACGGCCCAAACUCCUACGGGAGGCAGCAGUGGGGAAUAUUGCACAAUGGGGGAAACCCUGAUGCAGCGACGCCGCGUGAGUGAUGAAGUAUUUCGGUAUGUAAAGCUCUAUCAGCAGGGAAGAAAAUGACGGUACCUGACUAAGAAGCACCGGCUAAAUACGUGCCAGCAGCCGCGGUAAUACGUAUGGUGCAAGCGUUAUCCGGAUUUACUGGGUGUAAAGGGAGCGUAGACGGAGAGGCAAGUCUGAUGUGAAAACCCGGGGCUCAACCCCGGGACUGCAUUGGAAACUGUUUUUCUAGUGUGUCGGAGAGGCAAGUGGAAUUCCUAGUGUAGCGGUGAAAUGCGUAGAUAUUAUGAGGAACACCAGUGGCGAAGGCGGCUUGCUGGACGAUGACUGACGUUGAGGCUCGAAAGCGUGGGGAGCAAACAGGAUUAGAUACCCUGGUAGUCCACGCCGUAAACGA